UUAAGGCUGAUGUUUCAUUCUUUUUAUGUUUCAAAAAGGGCAAGUUCUAAGGACAUGAAUAGAGCCUUCACUCUGAAUUUCCAUGCUUUGAUUGAUUUAAAUGAAAACCAGACUGUUGCUUUAAUGCUGUGUAUGAAACCAUAAAAUAAUUAUUAAUUUUUCCCAUUCCAACAAAAUGGGUUAAGAUGAUUUUAAUAACAUUUUAGGGGGGAAAAAACCAAAACCAAACAGCUUUCAGAACACAGAAUUGUCCAGCAUACAAAAGCCAGCCAUAGCGAUAUUUUUAAAGCAAUGCAUAAAGGCACAAAAAUCAUACAGUUUCCACUGAAAAACUCAGUACAGUUGCACUGGGAACACCACUGAAGUAAGCAUCCCCUGGAGAUUCCAUCACAUCAAAGCAAGGGAUAUGUAUACUUUAUUUGCUGUUUCUCCAGACACUGACAGCAGAGUGGGUUACUUCUCUCUCACACCCCAUAAAUACAGCCAUGGUCUUUUAUCUGCCGUUCCAGGACUUUACUGUCACCUCGCUGCCUCACUCACACUGUGGGAAGGAGAGGACCUAGAGAUCCCCUUUGGCCAACAAAGAGCUUUUAGCUGGCGAGCAGGGAGUGCAGGCACCGCACCACACAGCACCAAGCCUCACCAGCAGGCAGAGGAGGGGUUGAAAAGUGCACCUUUAUCUGCAGAAGAAAGGAAACACCUGAACCAUUCACCAGCAGGGACUCUGGUGAGGACUGGACUCACAACUGCACUUUUGAGCAAGCAGAGAUAGGAAAGAGGAACAACGGGAGGGCAAAGGCUUCAGAAACAUUCAGGCAACUUUGAAAGACGACAGACAUUCAACUGCAGGAGAGGAAGAUUCCACGGGACAAUGGGAAAUGCCAAGGCUUCCCAACCACCUGCCUGUCAGACACCUCCUGCACUACCAUCCCACAUCUUUCAGAACCCACUACUCAUGCCUUCUUUAAAACCUUCCCCAGAUAAACCAUUUUCUUUCAAUCUCACAUCAAGUUCCACUGCCUUUAGUAUCACCCAUCAGAAGUGUGGAAUACACACUAAUUCCCACACUACACAAGCAAAAAGACUCAGGAUAUGAAAUGCUACCUCAAGCUGCAUGUGCUACAUGUCAGCAGAAACCAGUUUCGGGGUCUUUGUACUAUCUUCAGGUCCGGAUCACAGCCACACAAAGAGAACACUACAUAUCAUGCUCACAGUGGACCACUGCAUCCCACGCUGCUACUGCUAGCACAGGUGUAUCCGGAAAGCACUGAUCUGCUUCCCCAGAUGUGUUCUGCAGACACCUUUUGACUACACACAUUGCUACAUGCUAGACCUGUAUUUAAAGCUCAAGAGGGAAGUAAGCUCACAGGGUUUUACCCUGAAUGCCCAACGUAUUGGCAAGAGGUUAGCACACCAGCUGAGGGUUGCAACUGGUAAUGCCUGAAUUUCAGCAAUGCUGGUACCAACAGCUUGCAGGUUUCUUAGAAAGUUUAUGUUAGUAAGCAGAGACAUUUAAUUUACUACUGUCUAUAGUUUAACAUUUGAUAAUAAAAUAUAAAUUAAAGAGAAAAAAUGAUCUUCUCCCCAUCUCUGAAAACCACUGCAAGCCUCAGGCUCUAGGACACACUGUCCAAACUUAAAAAUCUGUUUGAAGACUUCCACUGUAACUUAUCAGAAGAGUUGUAUAGGGAACUCUUUUCUUCUCCCAAUGAAUACGAGUUGUGAUUACUCUUCUAAAGCACGAGGCCAUGCCAGAGCAGAUCUCUCUCUCAUAAAGUAAUUAAAAUUAAAUUCAAAUUAAAAAAUUAUUGUAUUCUGUAAUUGAAUGGGCAGCAUCACUACCAAUCACAAACAGGUUUUGACUUCAUUCUAUAUUUGCAUAAAAUAACAAGAAAUGUUAAGACAACAAAUGAGUAAGCCUGCACAAUCAGUCAGGCUCAUCAGCAGAUACACUAAAAAUGUAAUGAAUGCAGGAAUAUUCAUUUAUAUUAUUGUCCAAAUACAGAAAAAAAAAGUGAGAAAUCUUUUAUCAGACAAGGAUGGAUAAGAAAAUAGAAAUGCAGUACUGAAAGAGCUCUUAUUAUUUAUAAAAACAUGUAUAAAAACACAGGAAGCUAGAGUAGCAAGUAGGAGGAAAUUAUGUACAACACUUAUCAGAUGGAUACCGAAAUGCUGCGUCCAAGUUAGACCUUAAAAAGGAUCCAAAAGAAUAAGAUGUCUGAGAGGUGGGAUAGUUAAAGAGGAGCUGUGCAA
Non-coding RNA from Meleagris gallopavo (turkey), 2253 nucleotides. The record is from RefSeq and is a predicted model, not a curated record. Lineage: Eukaryota; Metazoa; Chordata; Aves; Galliformes; Phasianidae.